UGGCGGCGUGCCUAAUACAUGCAAGUCGAACGGUCUUUCUAUGGAAGCUUGCUUCCACUGAGAAGAUAGUGGCGAACGGGUGAGUAACACGUGGGUAACCCUGCCCAUAAGAGGGGGGAUAACAUCCGGAAACGGGUGCUAAUACCGCAUAGUUUUCUUGAUCGCAUGAUCGGGAAGGAAAGACGGCCUUUGUGCUGUCGCUUAUGGAUGGACCCGCGGCGUAUUAGUUAGUUGGGGAGGUAACGGCUCACCAAGACGAUGAUACGUAGCCGACCUGAGAGGGUGAUCGGCCACAUUGGGACUGAGACACGGCCCAAACUCCUACGGGAGGCAGCAGUAGGGAAUCUUCCGCAAUGGACGAAAGUCUGACGGAGCAACGCCGCGUGAGUGAAAGAAGGUUUUUCGGAUCGUAAAACUCUGUUGUCAGAGAAGAACAAGUUGGAGAGUAACUGCUCCAGCCUUGACGGUAUCUGACCAGAAAGCCACGGCUAACUACGUGCCAGCCGCCGC
Molecule: ribosomal RNA, 510 nt
Filed under: uncultured bacterium
Lineage: Bacteria
Description: bacterial SSU rRNA
Rfam family: Bacterial small subunit ribosomal RNA
Source: RNAcentral